Molecule: long non-coding RNA, 630 nt
Filed under: Sinocyclocheilus grahami
Lineage: Eukaryota; Metazoa; Chordata; Actinopteri; Cypriniformes; Cyprinidae
Description: lncRNA (ENSSGRG00000016452.1)
Source: RNAcentral
UUGUAUUGCUAGCUUUGUGGGUAACAUUUGUCCUUUUGUAUAACCUUUAUAUCACCCUUAUUGUUAUCUAGAAUACCAUCUUGCUCAAGAGGACUCAAAGGAUUCUGAAUCUAUUACCCCUGUGCACAGGUGCAUUCCUACCAUCAGUUGUUUGCCAGACCUGGCUGAGAUUGCAGACCACUCCAGCAUAUCCUGUUCACCAGCCUAUCACCAAGAAUGGGUGGAGUCAGCUGAAGGCCCGCCCAUCCCUCUCAGCAGAGGACAUUCACACUGUAACAGCACCCCACGCAGCCCAAAAGGCCAUAGGACACACAUUCAAUAUGUGCAGGUUGGCACUGAACCCCUCCCUCACCUCCAGAGUCUGUUGGACUCAUCACCAUGGGGCAGUGCUCCAUCCCAUACUGUCUGCACAGAGAGUUACGCCACAGCCAGCACAGGAGACAGCAGCACUGUCAGUCAAUGAAUCAUUAUAUUUGGAAUAAUAGAUUUCUACAAUCGUAUCAGUAUCAGCCAAUAAAUAUGACUUUUUAUGUUUUACGUAUCAGUCCAACAAGUUAUAUAUAACAGAUAUAUUUAAGCUGACAAUCUAUGCUCAAAUGAACACCCCAGAUUAUUUAUACCAGUUGCCCU